Molecule: RNA transcript, 6104 nt
Organism: Oncorhynchus masou masou (cherry salmon)
Lineage: Eukaryota; Metazoa; Chordata; Actinopteri; Salmoniformes; Salmonidae
Gene name: zinc finger protein 252-like
Exons: 4
Source: RefSeq, a predicted model, not a curated record
CAAUACAGUGUGUUGUCUGAAGGAAACGGACAAGUAAACGGAAGAGAAGAACAACUUUCACGUUAGCGUUUUUAUUUAGCCAUUUUAACGUCCUGGAACUCAACAUAUGAUUAAUUUAACUGCACAUCCCAUGUUGUGUUUUGUUCGAGUUGGAGACAGGAUUUGUUUGAUAGCUAACUAGCUAGCUGCUCAAGUUAGCCAACAAUGGCUAACUGUAUGAUUUUUCACACUCAAAUAGCCUCCAUCAUGGAGGUUCUAGCGAAUGCAGCCGUGGCAGAGAUCUGUAAACUCGUAGAUAACGACUAUGCAGUAUUUCGUUUGGAAAUAACUCACAGCCAGAAAGAAAUCAGGGCAUUACGGAGAAAACUGCUGGAAUCCAAGGUGGCACGGGAGCGCGCAGAAAGGACAGCCCGAGAGCGCGUCCUCGCCAGUCGUCCCAGUAGUGUCAAGAUCCUCGACCGAUACAGAGGAAUGGCAAGAGGUGAAGGACAUCUCACUGGAGGUCACAGGACCUUUGUGAAGCCAGGGGGACACAAUGAAUGGAGAGAUGACCAACCAAUCACUGUUGAUGAGGGGAGUGGAACCUCAACCCAGCAUGUUAUCGUGAUAGAAUCUGCAAAGGCUGAAGGUCCUGGUGUCAAGCUAGAGAGGUCUGAAGGAGAGGAGGACCCACGGCACAGCAGAGACAUCCAGACUGGAACGGCUGACACGUCCUCAGUAGACAGAGAGGACCCCACCACCGCCCAAGCACAGCCAAGGACCCAUCGCAGCAUCACGGAGGUCAGUGGAAUGCCGAACACCGUCCUCAAGUCAGAGACAGACACCAAGACUUUAACUGUAACACACAGUCUUUUACAAACAGGAUCUGAUCACAGAUCAGACCCAAAGAGACUGGGGCCGAGGAGACUGGGCUGUCUUCCUGCUCCCGGCUCAGAGUACUUACCAGUAUUUCACCAGAGAACUUUUAAUUCCCGUGGGGAUGGUGAUGGGAACGCUUUAGACACUGGCGGUGAUGAUUCAUCUUGUUCUUACGCUACAGAGAUGGGCCCUGGCAACAUAUCCUUGGGUUUAGAGACACAAACUGAUCUGUCUAGAGGGGACUGGAACCGGUACAGUAGUAGUGUAUACUCUGAAGGGUGCCUAGAUAAGAAAGGGGAGAGUCUGGUCGUAAAUGAGGUAACUGUGAAAGUGGAGGAUGACGUUCCUCCCACAUGGAAUGCAAAUACUCACCUAGGAGACGGAAACUCACAGGGCAGAGAUGUCUUAGAUUACAGGGAAAGCUUAGAGACAAAUCUAAAUGUCACGACCCACUCCCCUUUACACACGUUCAGGGAUUGUGACCCAGUGUCCACAUUGAUGGGGCCUUCCGAUUUACACAGCCAUGUCCUUUUCGAUCAGGCAUUGAACUCAAAUGACAGGGCUAGAGCCCAGACUCAGGGAGGGGGGGCCACAUCAGGCAAUGGCAAAGAGAAACGGUUCCUCUGCAUGUUCUGUAACAAAGGCUUCAGCUGCCUCCAGAAGGUGGAGGUUCACCAGAGGAUCCACACAGGGGUGAAACCCUUCAGCUGUACCCAGUGUCACAUGCGCUUUGCUCAGGCUGGCACUCUGAAGAGGCACCAGAGGGUUCACACAGGGGUGAAACCCUUCAGCUGUACCCAGUGUCACAUGCACUUCGCCCAAGCUGGUGACCUGAAGAGGCACCAUAGGGUCCACACGGGUGAGAGACCCUACAGUUGCCCCCAGUGUGAGAAGAGAUUCACCCGCCAGCAUCAGCUAAAGAUGCACAUGAAGGUCCACACGGGAGAGAGGCCAUUUGCCUGUACGCACUGCGGGAAGACAUUCUCAGAGAGGAGCUACCUCAGGAUACACCAGCAGAAAAAACAUUCCACUCAAUAGCUUCAGAUUUUUAGAUGUAUUAAAUAUAAAGAUUCAUUUUCAUUGUUGUCAGCAGAAAAAUACUCAAAGAUGCAUUUGGAAUAACAGAUUUCAGUGUUGAAUAUUUCUGGGUCGAAUACUGCAUCCAGACAUGAUUAUAUCUAUAUAUAUAUAUGCGUGUAUGUUUGUGCCUAAAAAGGUUAUUACAUAUUGUGUUUGUACUGUGCAGGCCAGGGAUGGGCAACUUUAAUGGGGCGGGGGCCACAAAAUAUCAGAACUCAGAGCUGGCUCUAGCCUUUUGGGGGCCCUAAGCUACAUUUAGCAAGUAAAGCAUUUUUGCAGCCCCCUUCUUGACAGCAAAGAGAACAUUUUUUAGUUUUAGAGUUAAUUUCCUGCAGUUCUACACAUUUUGCCAUGGGUUGAAGAGACGGGGUUAAUCCACAGACAAAAGGGGUGCUGCCAGUUGCCCAUCCCUGGUGUAGGCUAUAUGUGGCGCGCUCUAUCAUAAUCAGUCGGUCGUCGCAAUGACUAAUUUGCAUAUAAAUUGUGUUUUUGUCAAAAUGUAGACUUUUUGCUAUUUGGGGGUUUCAUCUGGUUUUAACAAAACAAUGUCUUUGCUUUCAUUAUCUGUAUGUAUUAUUGCCAAAUUCAGUAUAAAUAUAGUUUUAAUCGUAUAUAAUGUAGGAUGAAACGUAGCUCUUUCCCAUCCGUUUGGUGGAUGCUAGCUUGUAACUGGUGUAGGCUUUCGCGGCACUAGUUUAUCUGCACUAUCAAAACCCUCCUCUAUUCCGAAAUCAUGAAUGAAUUACAAAAUAGUUAGCUAGCUAUGUAUUUUGAAUCAAGCUACAAUAGGCUAUUCAAUCGAAUGAUUUUCCUGUUUUCCCAAUCAAAGCUACUGUAUUGUAUCAUCCUCGGGAAAAGAAAGUGUACCUCAGGCUACACUUCUCUUGCACUUCAAACCCCAUCAUGCAUAGUUACACUGUCACUACUGUCUACACAUUAGCUAGCUAGCGUAGCUUUCUACUGCGUUGAUGGAUUCCCGGGAGAGAGAAAUCGCUUGAUUAAAAAAAAAAAAAAGUAAUGUUGUGCUGGGAGCUGGUUCAGACGAUCAGUGGCAUCAACUUAUUGCCAACUACUUUUUGACCCUGCGCCACAGAGCAACGUCAUAAGCGACUCUGACAAGCUCGAGUCCGAGCACCUUGAGGAGGCAACCCGUUAAUGGUGGAUCCGUCAAUUAAGGCGCUUCAGUCGGUUGAGGGGAAAUAUGGUGCUGGGCAAGAAAUUGAAAAGGCUUGCGAGUUCAAUAAAGGGAAGCAGUGAUAUUUUAUUUUUUUACCCCUGAGGAGAUGGUCAAGAGACGUGACCAGAUGAAUUGGCUAACUCAACAAUGGUAAGUGCUUGCCAUUCAACUAUUAGUCAAGUUUAUAUGACUGAGUAUGUAAUGUGUGUGUGUUUUCUGUAUCUGUCAUUGUCUGGGUGUGACGAGGCACAUAAAUGCAUGAAAUGGCCAUCUACAAAGUUAUAACAUUUCUUUAUAUCAAACCUGACCCAUUUACACUACUAGUAAAAGUGUGUUUGUGUGUGUGUGUGUGUGUGAUUCACACAUGCAUUUCAAGAUGUGAAGGUUGCGUAGUUUGUGUUUUAUUGAACGUGUUUAUAUUACUUUAAAAUGUAUUGUCUAGAAUAGAUGACGACGAUGACUGAAUGUUAAAGAAUUAUAUAUUGUCUUAUUUUUCAGAUGAAAAACAUCAGUGCUCAUUGGCGAGAUCUCUGGUUCCAUGAACCUCUGCAAAUAAACGGUCACCUCGAACAGGAACUAACAAAAAAGAAACCGAGGACAUAUUUCUUUGAUAGCCAGCAAAUCUGCAGAGAAACCUUCAAGUUCCGACACGUUUGACUGCAGUGAUAAAGUUCUACAAGGAACAUGGUGAGGCUCCAAGGAAGAAGAGGUGGUGGUCUCGCCAGAAAACAGGUGCUGUCCUACGAGGACACUCGGCGACUCGUCCACUAUGUCAACAACUUCGCCGAUGUCCAUGCAAUGCCGCUCCCAGGACAGAGCCCUGGAUUUAAGAGGGCAGACAUCCUGGUGCUUCUGACAUUUGAGACCAAGUCCUUUGUGUGUUACAAAAACGUUAAUGCGUGUUCAUGGUGAGUGUUUUCCUAAAUUUUGAUACUUAUGUUUGUCAGCUCAAGCCAGCGGCAAAGACUCUAACCAAAGCCCACAUGAACCGGAUCCAAAGAGUCUGUCAGACCUUACUCUCUGGUGACGCGUGUAUGUUGUCAGAUUUUUUAAAAUAUUUCUCAUUUUAGUUGUUGCUUAGAGACCAGAGCUUACUUUGACCAAUUUUAGCUCAUUCUGUUGCUUGUAUACUACAUGAACAAAAGUAUGUGGACACCUGCUUGUCGAACAUCUCAUUCCAAAACCAUGGGCAUUAGUAUGGAGUUGGUUCCCCACCCCCCUUUUGCUGCUAUAAAAGCCUCCAUUCUUCUGGGAAGGCUUUCCACUAGAUCAGUGUUCGCCAACCGGUCGAUCUUCAAGGCAUUCCUAGUCGUUCACCAUAUAUUUCUGUAGAAAAGCCAACGAAUGAUAAAGGCUUGCUCUCCUUUUAAAAAAAUCGUGUUUAGCUGUUGCCGGUAGGUGCACUUGAUUCAAAAGUCCUGCUCUGGGUAAACAAAGUGUUCCCACGAGACAAACUCCGCCUAUCCGGCUGACCGGCAAAUCUGUGACUAAAACGGGUGGACCUACUGCGCUGCUCAAUCGGAUAGCUCAAAUCACCGUGGCGACAGAACUUCCAUGACCCUGGCCACAGCCAAGUGUAAUAAGCUCCUAACCUACGUAAAAUGUAAUAACUUUUAAAACCAUGACCACCGAGAGACUGUCACCGAAUACAGCAAAGAGCUACAUUUUUUUUAUGAGUGAGUUCAUGUUUAAGUUUAUAUUCAGCACUGGCACUGUUUUUAUUCAACACUAUUACAAAACAUGCUUCUCCGUACUUCCGCUCGGGCUGCAGCUGCAAUGAAUGAGCAGCCAAGUAUCAAUAGCCCUGCAUUUUAUUAUAUUUGUUAGCAGCUCGUCGUGUUGAUUUUAGUAUUGAGGAAUAUUUAACUUUCUCUGGUCAUAGGAACAACAUGAAUUUGUGCAUGAGGCAGAUGCGGUGCAACUCGAGUUUUGCCAUCAGGUGGAAGACUGUGUCCCCUCUCUCUGGUCAUCAGUCUCACCGGAGGAAAGGAAGGAGAGAGCAGGGACCGUGAGAGGUGGUUGGGAAAAAUCAUUUUGAACGGUCAUCCAACUCGGAAUUCCAAGUCGGAAACUCGGGCAUCUUUCUAGAGCCCCCAACUUUUCGACCUGAAGAUCACUGAUGUCGUGAUUUGAUCUCGUUGACCAUCAGAUGCAGGUACCAUCAGUUCACUAUUGUAAAGUGGCUGUUCCACUGAUGUCAGAAGGUGAAUUCACCAAUUUGUAAGUCGCUCUGGAUAAGAGCGUCUGCUAAAUGACUUAAAUGUAAAUGUAAAAAUAAACUAAUUAUUUAAAUUCAUGCCUCACAAGUGCUAAACCAACUGAUCUAUUUUGAAAUAUAAUAUGGUCUGAUUAACAAUAUUGGCAGGCCAAUCAUAUAGCCAAUAUGCUGUCUCAGGUUAAUGUAAAAAAAUAAAUAUUAGCAGUAGAUCUCCGCUUGCUUUUUGACUGCGAAAAUUAUCUGAACUCAAAAGUUUGGUGGCCACUGCACUAGAUAUUGGAACAUUGCUGCGGGGAUGUUACAGAUACAAGUAUCCUGUGUGUGUAUCCUGUGUUUGCUCUUCUUCUCCCCUCACAGGUGAAAACCAUCAGUCACCAAUCAAUCAGAAGACACACCUCCUCCUGUUUUCCUACCCUUUCACAGUUCCUUUCCCUUGGUUUAAAAACCCUGUCAGUUGUUUGCUCUAGAGCUCAAUCUCUCUGUAAAUGCCAUGUCUGUAGGUCUGUGUUUCACUCUCUCUUUUGUUUGAGCACCUCCAUAGCACUUUGUCAUCACCUGUGAGUAUUGUUUAUGUUAAAUACACUAGUUAUAACUGGGCGGACCACCCACUGUAUUUUUGGUUAGUUAGUUAGUUAGCUGUUGUUAAAGUAGGCUAGUCUAGCUUAGUUUUUUUUUGAAUAGUUAUUGUUUCUUUCCUUGGGUCCAGCUCAGCCCCUUUUCCUGCUCCCCCCAUUACCGUGUGUUUUCAAAUAAACCUUGAGUUUGACGGUA